Dipodomys ordii (Ord's kangaroo rat) is the source of this 739-nucleotide RNA transcript. It is a transcript of the gene named akirin-1 pseudogene, with no coding region annotated. The transcript has a single exon. Lineage: Eukaryota; Metazoa; Chordata; Mammalia; Rodentia; Heteromyidae. The record is from RefSeq and is a predicted model, not a curated record.
AUGGCACGCGGGGUGACACAGAAACUGCCUAUGGAGUUCGAGGCAAUGCUGUUGAGUCCCUGUUCGCCAAAGCAGCGGUGCUGUGCCCCUCUGCCUGGCCCGACAAUGGGCCUGAGGCCCCAGACUCCGAGAAACAGCCGUUUUCAACUCAAAUCUUGUUGCCCACUCAGCCAGCUUCGACCAGCAGCGAGCAGCGCCUUCCAACUCCGGAGCAAAAUUUUCAGAACAUAGAGCAAGAAUAUAGUCAUUUUCAGAAGUGGAGACAUUUAGAAUUCAUUCUCAAUCAAAGUGAAGCAUGUACUUCAAAAAGCCAUCCUGUCUCUUCCACACUCACAGCACCUAGUUCUCCAGGUUUUUCCUGGAUGAAGAAAAACCAGCCUACUUUUACCCUUCACAAGUUCGAAUAAUAUGUGAGCGACUCUUAAAAGACUAUGAAGAAAAAAUUCGGGAGGAGUAUGAACAAAUCCUCAAUACUAAACUAGCAGAACAGUAUGAGUCAUUUGUGAAAUUCACACAUGAUCAGACUAUGCGGCAAUAUGGGACAAGGCCAAAAGCUAUGUAUCCUGAAGCUCUAUUGCAUAUCUGGUACCAGGUUUGACCUCAAGAGAUGGUUGCUGUACACUUUUUGCAACUGGUUUGAUAUCACAUUUCAGCUCCAACUUUGCAUCCUGAGAAUACUUCAAUGUUUCUGCAGGUCCAUUUUAUACAACUUGAAAGACCUUAAAACUUUCUGUUGCCA